CCAAUAGCGUAUAUUAAAGUUGCUGCAGUUAAAAAGCUCGUAGUUGAAUUUCGGGACCAUCAUGUCGGUCGUGCCUCGGUACGUACUGGCAUUGUUGGUUUCUCCCUUCUGACGAACCAUGAUGUCAUUUAUUUGGUGUUGUGGGGAAUCAGGACUGUUACUUUGAAAAAAUUAGAGUGUUUAAAGCAGGCUCACGCUUGAAUACAUUAGCAUGGAAUAAUGAAAUAGGACGUUUGAUUCUAUUUUGUUGGUUUCUAGGAUCGACGUAAUGAUUAUUAGGGAUAUUUGGGGGCAUUAGUAUUCAAUUGUCAGAGGUGAAAUUCUUGGAUUUAUUGAAGACUAACUACUGCGAAAGCAUUUGCCAAGGAUGUUUUCAUUAAUCAAGAACGAAAGUUAGGGGAUCGAAGACGAUCAGAUACCGUCGUAGUCUUAACCAUAAACUAUGCCGACUAGGGAUCGGAUGAUGUUAAUUUUUUAAUGACUCAUUCGGCGCCUUACG
RNAcentral lists this ribosomal RNA (499 nucleotides) under uncultured Glomeromycotina. RNAcentral describes it as "partial small subunit ribosomal RNA". It matches the Rfam family "Eukaryotic small subunit ribosomal RNA", at positions 591 to 1092 of the family's 1831-position model. The record is from RNAcentral. Lineage: Eukaryota; Fungi; Glomeromycota.